RNAcentral lists this long non-coding RNA (341 nucleotides) under Capsicum annuum. RNAcentral describes it as "long non-coding RNA (CANN_LNC012921)". The record is from RNAcentral. Lineage: Eukaryota; Viridiplantae; Streptophyta; Magnoliopsida; Solanales; Solanaceae.
AGCUGAAUCUGCAUUCACUCAAAUAGAAGAAAAAUGUAGCUCAUUUGUUAAGAUGAAAGACGAGGUAAAAAAUACACCAUAGAAGACGAUUGAAGUGAAGAAGAUGGAGAGCUUUAGUAGUAUUUUCAUGGUGUGUAUGUUCAUAAUAUGUAUUGCUAUAUGGUUCAAAAUAGUCGGUUGAAGUAUUUUGUGUAGUGUUGUAAUAUGAAUUUAUCGUUGGUAGUGUUUCUUGUAUGGUAUGGUAGUUUGAACUUGAUUCUCCUAUGACAGUGUUUCUUGUAUGGUGGUUGAAGUUGAUUUUGUUGAAUUAAAUCUCUUAUAUCAAAUUGAUUGUUGGUUUU